Molecule: transfer RNA, 435 nt
Filed under: Sorangium cellulosum
Lineage: Bacteria; Pseudomonadati; Myxococcota; Polyangiales; Polyangiaceae
Description: intergenic spacer
Rfam family: tRNA (bases 101-174)
Source: RNAcentral
GGAAGCGCUUCGGCGUUACCUGAACGUCAAAACCCACGUCGGACGUGGAGCAUACGACCUGGUUUUAGGGACCGAGCAGCACGCCGAGACGGCGACUGCCGGGCCAGUAGCUCAGGUGGUUAGAGCGCACGCCUGAUAAGCGUGAGGUCGGCAGUUCAAGUCUGCCCUGGCCCACCGCGAUCAGGUGGCAUUUGCAGCACGCGCGAGGAAGCGCGAGCUCUGCUCACCCCGAGUCGCUGAGCGAAGUGGGAGGUCGUUGAUGCGACCCCGCUCGGCCCGACAAAAAGCUUCUACCGGAUGACGUCGAUGUCAUCCGGUCGAUCUCUGACAACUGAAUAGCACAAGUAAAGCGUCCAAAAAACAUACUGUGAGCACCCGAAGUGAGUUCGGCAAUCGAACUUCCGGACGCGAGCUCGAUGCGUGCCUUAGGGGUAC